CACUAUAGGGUCGCCGCUACGUUACGUUAGGCAAGUGCGCAGCUGGCGCGUUGAUAACAUGAGGCGAUCUAAUAAACCCUCCGGUGCACAGGGACGAAAACGGAGAAAGGAUGAAGAGAAAAAGAAAGCCCAGUAUAGAGAUGCACUCAGGCAAUAUUUGCAGAGGCCGGCACCUGCUGGAGACAGGACACCUGAUCCUUCAUCUGAACUUUGUUACCUACUAAACAACCAGAAAGGUUUUCACUUGGUCAAAUGGGGAACAAACAAAGAAACUGUAUUGAGGCCAAAAUGAAAACUGGAGAGGAUAAAAACUGGUUCUUAAAGGCAUCUUAAAGGCAUCCAUGGGUUAUCCACAGAAGGGGACUCACAACUAAAAAAUUACAUUUAAAAGAUAUCCACCUAGAAAGGAUACUAAAUGUGUGCCAGAAAAGGUGAACCAAAACAAAUAACCACAACAGUUUAGUAGAGGGAGUAAACACCUUCCCCUCUGGACAUAUUUGCUCACAAGCAACCUAAAACAACCAUUUUCUUACAUUAACUAUAUGUGUCGUUAUGCAAAUGUGUCUCUUUCUCCAGUAAACAUGCUUGACUACUGUAUGUACAAACCAAAGUGGAUUUUCUUCUACUAAAAUG
This is a long non-coding RNA of Esox lucius (northern pike), 633 nucleotides long. Lineage: Eukaryota; Metazoa; Chordata; Actinopteri; Esociformes; Esocidae. The record is from Ensembl.